RNAcentral lists this ribosomal RNA (379 nucleotides) under uncultured cyanobacterium. RNAcentral's name for it is "bacterial SSU rRNA". It matches the Rfam family "Bacterial small subunit ribosomal RNA", at positions 376 to 770 of the family's 1533-position model. The record is from RNAcentral. Lineage: Bacteria; Bacillati; Cyanobacteriota.
GGCAACCCUGACGGAGCAACGCCGCGUGGGGGAGGAAUGUCUGUGGAUUGUAAACCCCUUUUCUCAGGGAAGAAGCUCUGACGGUACCUGAGGAAUCAGCAUCGGCUAACUCCGUGCCAGCAGCCGCGGUAAGACGGAGGAUGCAAGCGUUAUCCGGAAUUAUUGGGCGUAAAGCGUCCGUAGGUGGUGAAUCAAGUCUGCUGUCAAAGCGUGGGGCUUAACUCCAUAGAGGCAGUGGAAACUGGUUGACUAGAGUGCGGUAGGGGUCGAGGGAAAUCCCAGUGUAGCGGUGAAAUGCGUAGAUAUUGGGAAGAACACCAGUGGCGAAAGCGCUCGACUGGGCCUGCACUGACACUGAGGGACGAAAGCUAGGGGAGCG